AUGCCUUCGACAGCCUCGCGUCACACUGCAUCAUUUGGCAGCGCCCCGCGGUCCGGAAACGACCAGGCCCCACAAGGCCCUGGGAGAAACCCUGGGAGCGACCUCUGCCCUUCAGGGGAAACUCCUCAAACCGGGCGUGGCGCCAGGGCUUAUGGGAAACGUAGUCCCAGGCUCGGUCGCCCGCCCGGCGCGGGGUCCGCCCAGGGUCUUGAGGGGCUCCGAGGCUCGCGGCGCACAUGCGUACUUCGUUCUCCGCGCGUCUGCCUCGGGUUCCAAGGAAGCAACCUCGAAGUGUGGAGCAGAAUCGCACCCUGUGGUCAUGUAUUUUGGGAUUUCUUGGCAUCUCAGAACUCAAGGCCAGGUUCCAGCCCCCUUGGAAGAAAGCAGCUUUUGUGA
RNAcentral lists this long non-coding RNA (396 nucleotides) under Canis lupus familiaris (dog). RNAcentral's name for it is "lncRNA (ENSCAFG00845028336.1)". The record is from RNAcentral. Lineage: Eukaryota; Metazoa; Chordata; Mammalia; Carnivora; Canidae.